RNAcentral lists this ribosomal RNA (901 nucleotides) under uncultured bacterium. RNAcentral's name for it is "bacterial SSU rRNA". It matches the Rfam family "Bacterial small subunit ribosomal RNA", at positions 66 to 967 of the family's 1533-position model. The record is from RNAcentral.
ACGGCAGCACGGACUUCGGUCUGGUGGCGAGUGGCGAACGGGUGAGUAAUAUAUCGGAACGUGCCCAGUCGUGGGGGAUAACGUAGUGAAAAUUACGCUAAUACCGCAUACGAUCUACGGAUGAAAGCGGGGGACUCGCAAGAGCCUCGCGCGAUUAGAGCGGCCGAUAUCAGAUUAGGUAGUUGGUGAGGUAAAGGCUCACCAAGCCCGCGAUCUGUAGCUGGUCUGAGAGGACGACCAGCCACACUGGAACUGAGACACGGUCCAGACUCCUACGGGAGGCAGCAGUGGGGAAUUUUGGACAAUGGACGAAAGUCUGAUCCAGCCAUUCCGCGUGCAGGAUGAAGGCCCUCGGGUUGUAAACUGCUUUUGUACGGAACGAAAAGGUCUCUCCUAAUACGAGAGGCUCAUGACGGUACCGUAAGAAUAAGCACCGGCUAACUACGUGCCAGCAGCCGCGGUAAUACGUAGGGUGCAAGCGUUAAUCGGAAUUACUGGGCGUAAAGCGUGCGCAGGCGGUUAUAUAAGACAGAUGUGAAAUCCCCGGGCUCAACCUGGGAACUGCAUUUGUGACUGUAUAGCUAGAGUACGGUAGAGGGGGAUGGAAUUCCGCGUGUAGCAGUGAAAUGCGUAGAUAUGCGGGAGGAACACCGAUGGCGAAGGCAAUCCCCUGGACCUGUACUGACGCUCAUGCACGAAAGCGUGGGGAGCAAACAGGAUUAGAUACCCUGGUAGUCCACGCCCUAAACGAUGUCAACUGGUUGUUGGGUCUUAACUGACUCAGUAACGAAGCUAACGCGUGAAGUUGACCGCCUGGGGAGUACGGCCGCAAGGUUGAACUCAAGGAAUUGACGGGACCCGCACAGCGUGGAUGAUGUGGUUUAUUCGAUGCACGCGAAAA